Molecule: unclassified non-coding RNA, 2842 nt
Filed under: Hevea brasiliensis (rubber tree)
Lineage: Eukaryota; Viridiplantae; Streptophyta; Magnoliopsida; Malpighiales; Euphorbiaceae
Source: RNAcentral
GAGACUCCUCUUUCUUUCUUUCCCCUAUCAUCUCCUCACUUUUGUCAAAGAAAUGAAAAUGACUCAAUUGAUACACCUAAUUAAAAAUUGUGCUUCACCAAUUGGUCUAUUGUAAAUAAAUAAAUAGCCACCUUUUAAGGUUCAAAUCUUCAUUUUCUGAUUCAUUACAUAAGAGAGAAUAGGGAAAGAGAGAGACUUCGGAGGUAUGAAAGAGAUAAUAAUGUUCUCCUUAUCUCCAAGAAGUUAUUUGUAGAAAUUUUAUUGCAUCAACAAACCAAUAAUUUUCUUUUUUGGAAGAAAGAUUCAAGAAAUUCUAUUUCUGGAUCGGCCAGCUAACACAUAUGGAAACCCCACUUGUUUUUCCUUGCCAAGAUUGAAAUCUCACAUGCGAAUUUUCAAAUCCCAGUGAGUUAAGUUGGUGGUUGGCCUCUCUUCAUUUCAAUCACAAACGUUUAUUAUAUUUUCCGGCAAAAAUUGAGAGAAAAUUGAUAUCCAGCCCUGUUAACUCUGGAGAAGAGAAAAUAAGAGCUUUGGAAGAUGGCAGGAGGAGCCCUAGCGCCGGCCGGUGUGGCCAAGGAGAGAGCAGAGCAAUAUCAAGGGAGAGUUACCUUAUCUGUGAUCAUUGCUUGUGUUGUUGCUGCUGUUGGGGGGUCAAUCUUUGGAUAUGAUAUUGGAAUUUCAGGAGGAGUGACAUCAAUGGAUGAAUUUCUUCGGAAAUUUUUCCAUAGGGUAUAUUUAAGGAAGCAACAUGCACAUGAAAACAAUUACUGCAAGUAUGAUGACCAAGGGCUGGCAGCUUUUACCUCUUCUCUAUACCUCGCUGGUCUGGCUGCAUCUCUGAUGGCAGGUCCUGUUACUAGAAUAUAUGGACGACGUGCGAGUAUAAUUUGCGGAGGCAUUAGCUUUCUUAUUGGAGCAGCACUAAAUGCCGGAGCUAUUAACCUGGCAAUGCUUCUCUUAGGCAGGAUUAUGCUGGGUAUUGGCAUUGGAUUUGGAAAUCAGGCUGUUCCAGUAUACUUAUCAGAGAUGGCACCGACUCACCUUCGUGGAGGACUAAACAUUAUGUUUCAGCUAGCAACUACCACUGGGAUCUUUACAGCAAACAUGGUCAAUUAUGGAACACAAAAGCUUAGACCAUGGGGAUGGAGGCUUUCUCUGGGACUAGCAGCAGUCCCAGCUCUAUUGAUGACUGUGGGAGGGAUAUUUCUGCCUGAGACACCGAACAGUUUAAUCGAACAGGGGUUUAAUGAGAGAGGGAGGAAAAUAUUAGAGAAGAUCAGAGGAACCAAAAAUGUCGAUGCAGAAUUUGAGGACAUGCUAGAUGCUAGUGAGCUGGCUAAAUCAAUCAAGCAUCCCUUCAGAAACAUCCUGGAAAGGAGGAACAGACCACAAUUGGUUAUGGCAAUCUUCAUGCCAACAUUCCAGAUCUUAACAGGCAUAAAUUCAAUUCUCUUCUAUGCUCCAGUGCUGUUCCAGAGCAUGGGAUUUGGAGGAAAUGCUUCCCUCUACUCCUCAGCUCUGACUGGAGCAGUGCUCUGUUCCUCUACCUUCAUCUCUAUAUUAACAGUUGACAGAUUGGGUAGAAGAUUUUUGCUUAUCAGUGGCGGGAUACAGAUGAUUACAUGCCAGGUAAUAGUGGCUAUAAUCUUGGGGCUGAAAUUUGGAGACAACCAGCAGCUAUCAAAAGGCUUCUCAGUGUUGGUUGUGGUUGUGAUUUGCCUCUUUGUGGUAGCUUUCGGAUGGUCGUGGGGUCCGCUUGGCUGGACGGUGCCAAGUGAAAUAUUUCCACUCGAAACACGAUCAGCUGGGCAGAGCAUAACAGUUGCUGUAAACCUUCUCUUCACUUUCAUCAUAGCACAGUCUUUCCUUUCCCUCCUUUGUUCAUUGAAGUUUGGGAUCUUCCUCUUCUUUUCUGGUUGGAUUACUGUCAUGACCAUCUUUGUUUACUUAUUCCUGCCUGAAACCAAUGGAGUUCCCAUCGAAGAGAUGAUAUUUCUCUGGAGAAAGCACUGGUUCUGGAAGAGAAUAGUGCCUGGGGAUCCAGCAGAAGUUGAUGACAGCAGGCAAAGACAUUACAUGGAAUUGGGUGAAGGUGUUACUAGCACAGCUAUAUAGCCGAUGGACUGAUACAAUAAGCAAUUCAGCUCUGGAGAUAUUUCAAUAUUUACACAUCUGCUUUUCACUUCACAACUCACAACUGAUGUACCCAGAUAGCUGAUGCGUCAAGAAAGUGUCUGAAAGGGCCUCAGCCAUGUAUAUUAAUGGUUCCAUCAACAAAAACUUCCGUAAGUUUGAAAUAUACUGUAGAGUUCCAACUUCCAGACGCUAGCUCGCCUGCAUUCACAUGACAAGUAAUCAAUACUGAAUAACAAAAAUAACCAGUAAAUACCAACCAUGACCUCCAGCCCAAAUGGUAGAUGGGCAUUCCAAAACCAUUAUGGCUAUGCUGUCCAUGGAAUUCCCAUACCUCACCAUCUCUGGGCAUUAAGAUUACAAUGUUUGAGACUAGGGAAGAAAAUAAGGAGAAGAGAGAAUUCCAGCAUCAAGCAUUACUCACAAAUUCACAAUGUGAAGGCAGAGGAAAUUGGAAAAUUGAGAAGCGCACUAAUAAAAUUUCCAGGUCGAUUCCAUGGAUCCUAAAAAUUUUGUGGAAUUCAUUUUCAAUUUGCUUCUCUACGGUCUUCCAGUCGGGUCCCCGUUGAGCCGUGGAUCCCAAAUCAGGAUCUGCAUUCUUUUCUAUCUUCAGCCUCGGCUUCCCAUUUUCCCUCAAAUUCAAAUUGGUGUCUGCUUGUUGUUAAAUGCAAUUAAAUUAUAAGCUGGCUUAUAUGAAUAUGCCUAAUUC